Molecule: ribosomal RNA, 253 nt
Filed under: uncultured bacterium
Lineage: Bacteria
Description: partial 16S ribosomal RNA
Rfam family: Bacterial small subunit ribosomal RNA
Source: RNAcentral
UACGUAGGGGGCAAGCGUUGUUCGGAUUUACUGGGCGUAAAGGGCGCGUAGGCGGCUUAACAAGUCACUUGUGAAAUCUCCGGGCUUAACUCGGAACGGCCAAGUGAAACUGUUAUGCUAGAGUGCAGAAGGGGCAAUCGGAAUUCUUGGUGUAGCGGUGAAAUGCGUAGAUAUCAAGAGGAACACCUGAGGUGAAGACGGGUUGCUGGGCUGACACUGACGCUGAUGCGCGAAAGCCAGGGGAGCAAACGGG